RNAcentral lists this ribosomal RNA (508 nucleotides) under uncultured bacterium. RNAcentral describes it as "partial 16S ribosomal RNA". It matches the Rfam family "Bacterial small subunit ribosomal RNA", at positions 28 to 523 of the family's 1533-position model. The record is from RNAcentral.
GAUGAACGCUAGCUACAGGCUUAACACAUGCAAGUCGAGGGGAAACGAUAGAGAAAGCUUGCUUUUUCUAGGCGUCGACCGGCGCACGGGUGAGUAACGCGUAUCCAACCUGCCCAUCACUUGGGGAUAACCUUGCGAAAGUAAGACUAAUACCCAAUGGUAUCUCUAGAAGACAUCUGAAGGAGAUUAAAGAUUUAUCGGUGAUGGAAGGGGAUGCGUCUGAAUAGCUUGUUGGCGGGGUAACGGCACACCAAGGCGACGAUCAGUAGGGGUUCUGGGAGGAAGGUCCCCCAACUUGGAACUGGGACACGGUCCAAACUCCUACGGGAGGCAGCAGUUAGGAAUAUUGGUCAAUGGGCGAGAGCCUGAACCAGCCAAGUAGCGUGCAGGAUGACGGGCCUAUGGGUUGUAAACUGCUUUUAUAAGGGAAUAAAGUGAGUCUCGUGAGGCUUUUUGCAUGUACCUUAUGAAUAAGGACCGGCUAAUUCCGUGCCAGCCGCCGCCGUAA